UCACUCCAGCUCUGGUCUAUCCUCCCGUCACUCCAGCUCUGGUCUCUCCUCCCGUCACUCCAGCUCUGGUCUAUCCUCCCGUCACUCCAGCUCUGGUCUCUCCUCCCGUCACUCCAGCUCUGGUCUCUCCUCCCGUCACUCCAGCUCUGGUCUAUCCUCCCGUCACUCCAGCUCUGGUCUAUCCUCCCGUCACUCCAGCUCUGGUCUAUCCUCCCGUCACUCCAGCUCUGGUCUAUCCUCCCGUCACUCCAGCUCUGGUCUAUCCUCCCGUCACUCCAGCUCUGGUCUAUCCUCCCGUCACUCCAGCUCUGGUCUAUCCUCCCGUCACUCCAGCUCUGGUCUAUCCUCCCGUCACUCCAGCUCUGGUCUAUCCUCCCGUCACUCCAGCUCUGGUCUAUCCUCCCGUCACUCCAGCUCUGGUCUAUCCUCCUGUCACUCCAGCUCUGGUCUAUCCUCCUGUCACUGCAGCUCUGGUCUAUCCUCCUGUCACUCCAGCUCUGGUCUAUCCUCCUGUCAUUCCAGCUCUGGUCUAUCCUCCUGUCACUCCAGCUCUGGUCUAUCCUCCUGUCACUGCAGCUUUGGUCUAUCCUCCUGUCACUCCAGCUCUGGUCUAUCCUCCUGUCACUCCAGCUCUGGUCUAUCCUCCUGUCAUUCCAGCUCUGGUCUAUCCUCCUGUCACUCCAGCUCUGGUCUAUCCUCCUGUCACUCCAGCUCUGGUCUAUCCUCCUGUCACUCCAGCUUUGUUGCCAUUCCUUCUCUUUAACUGACAGGGUUCACAGUAGAGUACUCUGUCCCUUUUAGCCAAAAUAUCUUAAUAGCAUUAUUCAUGUUCCCAGAUCUCUUCCAUUUUACUGUGAGUUUACAAGGUAUUGAAGUAUCAACAGGAGGAGCAUUAACAGUGAGGAAAAGCUUUUCUCACUCUCAUCUACUCAGUUUUCCCUGAUGAGUUGACAGGAAUGAAGUCAAGUCAGCUGGUGGCACCCUUCAGGACCCAAAGGCCUAUUCCCUAAAUGCUUACCUGACUUGGCCACUGGCUAACUCAGGACUUUGCAGACAUACAGCACGUCUCUCUUCCUCUGUCAAGGUAGCUAUGAGAGAAGUGUUGGUGUGGCACUGUGAAAUCCUCCAGCCCUUACCUGUGACAUCAGGGCCAAAGAAUCCAUGUAACAGUCUUCCCCCUGCUGAAACUUGGGAUCUCCUGACAGGAGCCCAGCAAAAUCAUCUCGGAGAUGCAAGUGACAGAGAGCUAAUGUGGACCUGGUUCCAGCCUAGCAGUGGCACUAUAAAUGUUACUUGUACCCUGGAAGCUAAUCAUCCCUGUAGUCAACUACUACCACAGAUACAUGUCCUCAUGGAGCUUUCGUAACUCUUUACGGAAC
This 1379-nucleotide long non-coding RNA is filed under the name Rattus norvegicus (Norway rat). RNAcentral's name for it is "long non-coding RNA NONRATT015694". The record is from RNAcentral. Lineage: Eukaryota; Metazoa; Chordata; Mammalia; Rodentia; Muridae.